AUGCGUCUGAAGGUACCUCCAAAGGAAGCUCCGGCUAACUCCGUGCCAGCAGCCGCGGUAAUACGGAGGGAACAAACGUUGUUCGGAUUUACUGGGUGUAAAGGGUGCGUAGGCGGCUACGUGUGUCAGAGGUGAAAGCUCACGGCUCAACCGUGGAACUGCCUUUGAAACUGCGUAGCUUGAGUCCGAGAGAGGAUGGUGGAAUUCCUGGUGUAACGGUGAAAUGUGCAGAUAUCAGGAAGAACACCGGUGGCGAAGGCGGCCAUCUGGCUCGGUACUGACGCUGAGGCACGAAAGCUAGGGUAUCGAACGGGAUUAGAUACCCCGGUAGUCCUAGCCGUAAACGAUGUCCACUAGGUGUCGGAGGUCCUACCCCUUCGGUGCCGGAGCUAACGCAUUAAGUGGACCACCUGGGGAGUACGCUCGCAAGGGUGAAACUCAAAGGAAUUGACGGGGGCCCGCACAAGCGGUGGAGCAUGUGGUUUAAUUCGAUGCAACGCGAAGAACCUUACCUGGGCUUGACAUGCAGGGGACAGGUGUAGAGAUACACCCUUCUUCGGACUCCUGUACAGGUGCUGCAUGGCUGUCGUCAGCUCGUGUCGUGAAAUGUUGGGUUAAGUCCCGCAACGAGCGCAACCCUUGUCCUUAGUUGCCAGCACGUCAUGGUGGGAACUCUAGGGAGACUGCCGGUGACAAACCGGAGGAAGGUGGGGACGACGUCAAGUCAUCAUGGCCCUUACGUCCAGGGCUACACACGUGCUACAAUGGCACAUACAGAGGGCAGCGAACCCGCGAGGGGAAGCCAAUCCCAAAAAGUGUGCCUCAGUUCGGAUCGCAGUCUGCAACUCGACUGCGUGAAGUCGGAAUCGCUAGUAAU
RNAcentral lists this ribosomal RNA (877 nucleotides) under uncultured candidate division GN03 bacterium. RNAcentral describes it as "bacterial SSU rRNA". It matches the Rfam family "Bacterial small subunit ribosomal RNA", at positions 463 to 1342 of the family's 1533-position model. The record is from RNAcentral.